GGUGGCAGGUAGCCUAGUGGUUGGAGUGUUGGGCCAGUAACGGAAACAUUGCUAGAUCGAAUACCCGAGCUGACAAGGCAAUCACACGUACCUACGGGGGAAGGAUGGCCAGCCACACAAGGGUGAUUUUUACUAAGGAGGAGAAGGAGGUCAUGCUGAACGAGAUGCAUGCUGGCCAUUUCAGAAUGAAGCGCAUGAUUGCCAAAAUCAACCUACGCUUCUUCUGACGUGGAAUUGUCAAGGAGGUGGACAGCUGGUUACAGGUUAUGAGAAUCAACUGUCUGAAGCUGAAGCAAUAUUCCUUGACCCAAGGACUGUACUUGAAAUGAUACAAGAUCACCGGUGAAGUGUUCAUUAGAGAAGUCCUUAUCAACCAUUGGAACG
Molecule: long non-coding RNA, 384 nt
Filed under: Salmo salar (Atlantic salmon)
Lineage: Eukaryota; Metazoa; Chordata; Actinopteri; Salmoniformes; Salmonidae
Description: lncRNA (ENSSSAG00000096872.1)
Source: RNAcentral